This 381-nucleotide long non-coding RNA is filed under the name Gallus gallus (chicken). Lineage: Eukaryota; Metazoa; Chordata; Aves; Galliformes; Phasianidae. The record is from RNAcentral.
GUACUUUUGCUAUGCUUCGUCUUGGUAAAGAGGUUUCUACUAACCACAGUUAGCAGUUCUUGGAUGUGUGCAUAAGGAUGCUAGCCAACUAUCUGUUUGCAUCUACUCACUUUGACUCAUUCUUUCUGUAAAUUUACAGCAAGUCUUACACAUAAGCUUCUGCCAGCAAGGAACCUUGGCAGGUCUCCUCAACAAAACUAAGGCAAAGCGUGUAUGAAUCUCUAUUGUCAGCCUGAUGAUUGGUUUCUGCUAGAAGCAGAAGUGUCUGAAGAGGCAGGAAGUGCUUGUUUUGCAGAACUAAUUGAAACUGAAUGUGGAACGUGGCUGCGGAGAAAACUAAAAAUAUUCUUUCUAUAUUUGGAAUCCUCAUGUGUUACCACC